RNAcentral lists this ribosomal RNA (569 nucleotides) under Pelagodinium bei. RNAcentral's name for it is "eukaryotic LSU rRNA". It matches the Rfam family "Eukaryotic large subunit ribosomal RNA", at positions 236 to 813 of the family's 3401-position model. The record is from RNAcentral. Lineage: Eukaryota; Dinophyceae; Suessiales; Suessiaceae.
UCCACCGUGCACGGCACAUGUUCUCAGAGUCGCGUUCCUCGGAAUUGGAGCGUAAAGUGGGUGGUAAAUUUCAUCUAAAGCUAAAUAUAGGCUUGAGACCGAUAGCAAACAAGUACCAUGAGGGAAAGAUGAAAAGGACUUUGAAAAGAGAGUUAAAAGUGCUUGAAAUCGCUGAAAGGGAAGCGAAUGGAACCAGUCUUCUGGCUGAGAUUGUUGCGUGCUACUGUGAUGCCUGGCUGCUUCAACGCAAGUGUUGCAGUUAGAGUUGAUCAGCUGUGCGUGAUGUUUCUCAGCUUGUUAGUCAACCUUUGUUCGUGCUUGGGGAUAACUGCAGGUACCAUGCUCUUCCCUGCGGGGUUGAUCUCGUGCUUGUUAGGACUCAGGUGUGUACACUUGGUGACAAAAUGGUUCUCUUCGACCCGUCUUGAAACACGGACCAAGGAGUCUAGCACAUGUGCAAGUUCACAGGUGGCAAGCCUGCUUGCGCAAUGAAGGUGACUGCUGGGAUAUUUGCACCAGCAACCGACCAAUCAAUUGAGAGAAGUUUGAGUAUGAGCAUAUGUGUUAGG